GUUUUCGUGGUGUAAUGGUAGCACACUCCGCACGUAAUUGAGAGGUCCAGGUUCGAGUCCCAGCGAGGGCA
RNAcentral lists this transfer RNA (71 nucleotides) under Stegodyphus mimosarum. It matches the Rfam family "tRNA". From Rfam's summary of the family: Transfer RNA (tRNA) molecules are approximately 80 nucleotides in length. Their secondary structure includes four short double-helical elements and three loops (D, anti-codon, and T loops). Lineage: Eukaryota; Metazoa; Arthropoda; Arachnida; Araneae; Eresidae. The record is from Rfam by way of RNAcentral.